GAUGAACGCUAGCGGGAGGCUUAACACAUGCAAGUCGCGGGGCAGCACGGGGUAGCAAUACUCUGGUGGCGACCGGCGCACGGGUGAGUAACGCGUAUGCAACCUACCCAGUACAGGGGGAUAGCCCGGAGAAAUUCGGAUUAAUACCCCAUAAUGAUAUUUAGUGGCAUCAUUGAAUAUUUAAAGCUACGGCGGUACUGGAUGGGCAUGCGUAAGAUUAGCUAGUUGGUAGGGUAACGGCCUACCAAGGCUCCGAUCUUUAGGGGUCCUGAGAGGGUGAUCCCCCACACUGGUACUGAGACACGGACCAGACUCCUACGGGUGGCUG
Molecule: ribosomal RNA, 328 nt
Filed under: uncultured Bacteroidota bacterium
Lineage: Bacteria; Pseudomonadati; Bacteroidota
Description: bacterial SSU rRNA
Rfam family: Bacterial small subunit ribosomal RNA
Source: RNAcentral